Long non-coding RNA from Papaver somniferum (opium poppy), 1087 nucleotides. RefSeq lists it as uncharacterized. The record is from RefSeq and is a predicted model, not a curated record. Lineage: Eukaryota; Viridiplantae; Streptophyta; Magnoliopsida; Ranunculales; Papaveraceae. The transcript has 4 exons.
UCUUGGUUGUUAUUACUUUUGACAUCUGAUUCUAACCCAUCACCAAGGUGACAAGGAGGAGGAAUCCUUCGUAGAAAUCCUCCUUCAAUGAAGCGAAUUUUAGGAGAGAUGAUGUUCUUCCAAAUUGCUCUCAUUCCCCGAUCUCUCGUCUCACACACCUAAAAGAGCCCUAACCCUAUGUCUGAUGUCACCCCGUAUAUAUAUAACUAGGAUAUGAGUAUGACCCGUAACUUUCCCGGUAUACGGUUUAGGGAUUCCAAACCCGUAAAUAUGGGUUAUACCCUACCGUUACGUAGAGGAUAUCAACAUCAUGUUGGGCUAAUUUGAGAGAUUAAAACCGCCAGUCAAUCUUCAUAAGCUUGGGAACUGAUGCCUACCGCUCAAGGAGCUUCGACCAAAACCGCAACAAGUUUUGUAAGGUUCCCGGUGGUAAUGACGCAUUCUGGUUUUGGUGGACUUUUUCCUAAUGAAAUAUAAUAUGAGUGCGCUUCAACCAUUGGUUUGAAGAGGGGGUGUAAAAUUAAUUAAGGAUGCCAGUGUUUGUAAUCAUGUCAUGCCAGAAGCAUUAAAGAUUGCUACUACUUACCAGUCUCACAAUGAAAGAUACAGCUGCAAGGUAUCAACUCUGACAAUGAAAGAUCAACUUAUUUCGAGCUUAAGAGAAGACUAGGCACACGACCACCUUAACUGGAGACGUGAAGUUCUCUUUCUCCAUCUAAUCUUGAUUUGAUGUAAACAGACGAUAGUCUCAAUUGGCUUAUUCGAUGCGAACUCUCUUCAUUUUUGAGUUAACCCGAUCAGAGGAAGGCUCAAUCAGUUGGUUUGGUAGCUGUACGAGUGAAACUGCGCAUUGUUCGGACACCGAACUUCUGCACUAUUAACUGGUUCGUGCGAAUUACUAAUUAGGCUAUGAGUCAAAAGCAUAUAUAGAUUUUUAACAAUUAGUUAUUUUCCAACAUAUUUGAUCCUCUUUUGAAUUUUCAUAUAUAUCACCAGGGAAUAUUAGGAUAUACUAUCUUUGUUAUGUUCAAACACUACACAUUAAUAUGUUCUUCAUAGUUGUCUCAACCUCACUCGGGACUCAGGA